CAGAAACACAUCUACCCGGUAUGUAACGGCACCCAUUAGUGGCGACCGGGAUGAUAGAAAAUUUAUUUUCCAGUUCGUACAUAACAUGGCAACAUCCCCUACAGACCAUUUACCUCAUUCAUACGGAGUUUCUCACUCCCGUUGCCUCCUUCUGUCUUUCAGCACUCUGAGCUGUUGAGAGAGGGAAAGGGAGAGGAGGGAGGAAGCGCUGUGCUGAAGGUGCUGUGGUGCAUCUUGAAAAUAAAAGCACUCGAGUGGAUGAUUUCAAAAUUCUUCGCAACUGCUGUGAAAUUAUUGGGUGGGACAAAUGCAACUGUCUCCAAUAUUGGUGGAGACACGUCCCUCCUCCCCCCGGUUCCUACGCUUAUGUCCAGUUCACAUUACAUUCCAUACCAGAUAGUAGCAGUAAUGUGCACCUUCACAUUUGAAAACCACCAUAAACAACUAUAGUAGAAGAAGAAUGGUAUCACUGUGAAGCUGUUAGGUAUCGGGGUUUUGUUUCCCUUUUAUUGGGGAGUUUUCUUUUCCUUUAUGUUUGUCUGUGGUUCCGUUACUCAUCCACCAGAUAGCGCCAGAGGCUGCCUCCUGGGCAGGGCGUACCUGUGGUUCAGCGCACCUGUUGGUCAUCAUCUAAUCAUCCUUUAAGAGGAGCGGACUGACUGAACUUCUUCACCUGAGUGUUUGCCAGUGAUGGUGCUCCUUAGUGACACCGUGUGACCUCCUUGUGAAGAGCCCGUUCUGGCCUUCCCGAUAAUCCUCCCUCGAGACGCCGUGGUCUAUACCCACUGGUUGCCUGAGCCCCACAUCCAUCCCCUCAGUUGGAUCUCAAGCCGAACCCGGACCUGCCAGUUAGCAGUCGGACCGUUCCUCAGUUUUCCUCCGCACCUGAACCCACCUGUCCGUCCUCCACCGCAGCCUCCUCGUUGCCACACGGAGCCUCCUCGAUCGAGCCGAACACUGGAACCCGGGUCACCGUCCAGGACCAGAAAUAGGAGACGAUCUCCGAGCCGGUAGCCUACCCUCUCCCCGCAGCAGUUACUCAUCUUCAUAAGUAAGACCGUUCCUGUGUAGCUCACAUUUCCUACCGCCUUAAACUCACCAUCUCUCUGUCAUUCUUCAGUGCGCCAGCGACUCCGUAAUCGUGUCCCUGGAGAAACCCUCAUCCAUCUACCCACUCAUCUGUAUUCAAUAAACAUUGUUUCAUUGA
Molecule: long non-coding RNA, 1207 nt
Organism: Gambusia affinis (western mosquitofish)
Lineage: Eukaryota; Metazoa; Chordata; Actinopteri; Cyprinodontiformes; Poeciliidae
Exons: 2
Source: RefSeq, a predicted model, not a curated record